RNAcentral lists this transfer RNA (73 nucleotides) under Mesocricetus auratus (golden hamster). It matches the Rfam family "tRNA". Rfam says of the family: Transfer RNA (tRNA) molecules are approximately 80 nucleotides in length. Their secondary structure includes four short double-helical elements and three loops (D, anti-codon, and T loops). Further hydrogen bonds mediate the characteristic L-shaped molecular structure. tRNAs have two regions of fundamental functional importance: the anti-codon, which is responsible for specific mRNA codon recognition, and the 3' end, to which the tRNAs corresponding amino acid is attached (by aminoacyl-tRNA synthetases). tRNAs cope with the degeneracy of the genetic code in two manners: having more than one tRNA (with a specific anti-codon) for a particular amino acid; and 'wobble' base-pairing, i.e. permitting non-standard base-pairing at the 3rd anti-codon position. Lineage: Eukaryota; Metazoa; Chordata; Mammalia; Rodentia; Cricetidae. The record is from Rfam by way of RNAcentral.
GGAGAGAUGGCUCAGCAGUUAAGAGCACUGGCUGCUCUCCCAGAGGACCUGAGUUCAAUUCCCAGUGCCUACA